UACGUAGGGUGCGAGCGUUGUCCGGAAUUAUUGGGCGUAAAGAGCUCGUAGGCGGUCUGUCGCGUCUGCUGUGAAAACCCGAGGCUCAACCUCGGGCCUGCAGUGGGUACGGGCAGACUAGAGUGCGGUAGGGGAGAAUGGAAUUCCUGGUGUAGCGGUGGAAUGCGCAGAUAUCAGGAGGAACACCGAUGGCGAAGGCAGUUCUCUGGGCCUUACCUGACGCUGAGGAGCGAAAGCGUGGGGAGCGAACAGG
Molecule: ribosomal RNA, 253 nt
Filed under: uncultured bacterium
Lineage: Bacteria
Description: partial 16S ribosomal RNA
Rfam family: Bacterial small subunit ribosomal RNA
Source: RNAcentral